AUAUAGAGCUGCCGAGUCGGGCCGGAGAGUUCAGUCGCUGGCAGACACACAGUGGGUGCAGGCGCGCGCCCUACCACCGUCCUCCACACACCACCACCAUCACCAGCCUCCACCACCUCCACCACACACUGCCCCGCCAGCCACGCCCCGCCAAAACCACCAUCUCCACAACCAGAGCCCUCUCAUGCCCGCCCUCCCUGUCGUUCUUCUGGUCGUCGGUCACUUCGUCGUCCGUUAGAAGUUGAACCAGAGGAGAAAACGAACGCGACGGGCCUUGAAGUCUCUCUCUCCCUCCCCCUCUCCUCUGCCUCCUCCCGCACCGGCCGGCCACGUGCUUGCCUUGCCUUCCUCUCUCUCUUCCACGCGUUUUCCUCCUCCUCCUCCUCCUCUUCUCGUCGCCGCACACAACCAACACCACCUCCACCACCACCUCCACCACCACCUUCUCACCCAUAAGUACAUUCCAUUCUUUCUAUCUUCUUUCUUUCCUUCUUCUUCUCCUUCGCUAAUCCUGUUCUACCGCCAAAAACACACCAAUACACUCAUAACAAGACAAUAUCUAUCUUUCUGUCUGUCUGUUUAUCUGUCUAUCUUUCGUGUUUCCGGCUGAGUUUUAGGACUGAAAGUGACAGUUUAGAUCGCGGCCCUGUAACACUGACUGACUGACUGACUGACUGACUGACAACGCCCCUCGCCCUUGGACUGGCUAACUGAGUGGAGGCUGACUUAUCGUUGCUGCCUCGUCCUCCUUCACGACACAACACGACACGACACGAAACGACGUAGGGAGUGUGUGCGCGGGUGUGUGCGUGUGUGUACGUGUGUGUGUGAGUCAACUUGGCAGAGUUCGUCGGUGUCUGUCAGUGAGUGAGUAACUGUGUGCGUGUGUGUGCGAGUGCGUCUGUGUGUGUGUGUGUGUGUGUGUGUGUGUGUGUGUGUGUAUGGGAGAGGGAGCUGAACGGAUAGUCGGCUGAGGAAAAAGAGAGAGAGAGAGAGAGAGAGAGAGAGAGAGAGAGAGAGAGAGAGAGAGAGAGAGAGAGAGAGAGAGAGAGAGAGAGAGAGAGAGAGAGAGAGAGAGAGAGAGAGAGAGAGAGAGAGAGAAAGAGAGAAAGAAAAAGAGAGAAAGAGAGCUUUUGGCGUGACCUUGGCCGUGGAAAACGAAAGACGCGGCCCCGCCCACCACCACCACCACCACCCAACACCACCACCAACACCACCACGUGCAGCAUCUGUCCCCAUUACCACCAUCACCUCCACCACUGCCUGAACUCACGGAAGGCUUAGGACGCUCUUCAGUGCCUCAGCUUCACGCCCUUAGAAAACGAGCCUCAGGAGUGGCGCUGAGGGGCCGCGGGAGGGUCGAGGCGCCGCGGGGGCUCUCGAGGUCACGGCGGGCUGGUGUGAUGGGCGUGAGGAUGAUGAGCUUGGCGGUGCGGGCUGGGCUGCUGGCGGGGGUCAUCCUGGCGGGCUGCUCUCAAGGCAGCGCAGUGUGCACGGCGGCCGAGUACGAGCGAGGGGAGGUGUGGCAUCCGCGGCUCCAAAACUCAGAGGGCAAUUACUGUGUCACCUGCCGAUGUCUCAAGGAGGGCGAGGGCUACCACUACAACUGCACGAGUGAGCCGUGUCCCGAGGGCUGCACGGGCGGGGCUGACGAAGGGGAGUGCUGUUCCAUUUGCUCAGAAUCGGCGACGAGGAACAAGAACAACAACGGAGGAGAACCCGGAUCUCCCUCUUCCUCCUCUUCCUCAUCCCUACCCUCCUCAUCCCCAUCCUCCUCCUCCUCCUCCUCCUCCACCUCGUACUCCUAUCGCUCGACGGACGGGAACGGCGGCGGCACGGGGGGGCUGGUCGCCGACGCCUCCGCUGCGGGCGUGUUCAGCAGCGGCGGCGGGGUGGCGGGGACGCGCUCGUGUGUGGUGGACGGCAUGAUGUACCAACACGGCGACACCUUCUCGGGAAACUACAGCGGCGGCGAGCACGAGAAAUGCCAACACUGCUUCUGCAACGACGGCGUGACCCAGUGCCGGACGAAGGUGUGCCCGCCGGUGCCCUGCUCAUCACCCAUCUACAUCAGGAGGGACUGCUGCCGCGUGUGUAGAGAUGAUUCCACGGAGCUCGACUGGGACACGAUGGUCUCCUUCAGCGACCCGUCAGCACCUAAGGGAACGGCCGACCACGACUGCAAGAUAGGCGGGCGGUACUUCGUGAACGGCUCCAUCUGGCACCCCGUCAUCGGACCGUUCGGGGAGAUGGACUGCGUACUCUGCAAAUGUCUCAACCGCCGCAUCGACUGCUCACGCCUCAAGUGCCAGAGCCGUGACAAGUUACAGUGCAGCAAGCCGGUCAAGGUCGCUGGCCAAUGCUGUCCGGUGUGCCCCCUCACGCUCGUUACCAGCACAGCUCCUCAGGUCUCAGGCAACACGAUUCGGUGCCUCAGUGAGCGGACGCAGCUGGCGGUGUGGAAGAACGUGGGUGCCGGGAACAACUCUCGCGUCAUGCAUUACGUGUUUGAGCCGGUGGCAGGGCGCGGGGGGACGGCCAGCUCUGUUCUACACCUUCACCGCAUGAUUCUACGCAACGGGAACCUGGAGAAGCUGGACAUCUACGACAUUAGCAGGGACGAGUUCAGAAACCUACGAUCAACCUAUACUUUCUCCCUCUUCGGCGGCACGACCAACAAGCUCAUGAACAAGUUUAGGACCCGGGAGCAGAGGACUGACCGCCGCUGCAAGAGGAAGAAGCGCUGUUCCGUGCGAGUCCCGAGCCUGGACCGCAUAUUGAAGGUCCGGCCCGCCACGAUGAGGGUCCGCUGCGCCAGGGGGGAGCGGGAGAUCUGAAGGGGGAGCAGCAGCAGAAGGAGCAGGGCGCUGAAGAAGUAGGAAGUGGAGUUGAUGAUGAUGGUGAGGGUGACACGAGAGGUGGUGGAGGAUGGUGCGGGUCCUCUCCUCCUCCUCCUCCUCCUUCGCCGCUUCCUCCUCCGCUUCUUCCUUUUCCUCCUCCGCCUCCUCCUCCACUACCAGCGAGGAGGUCCAGUAGGAGGAGAAGGUGAAAAAGGUGGAAGUGGAGGUGGAGGAAAAGGAGGAAGAGCAAGAAUCGAAAGAGAGGAAGAAGGAGGAAGAGGAGGAGGAGGAAGAGGAGGAGGAAGACGAGGCGAAGAAGAAGAAGAAGAAGAAGAAGACAAUGAAGAAAAAGAAGAAAGAAAAAAGGAAUCGAUGAAGCAGCAGCAGCAGAAAGGAAGACGAGAGAGAGAGAGAGAGAGAGAGAGAGAGAGAGAGAGAGAGAGAGAGAAACAGACAGACAGACAUAGACAAGAGUUUUUCGGCCCCAACGAGAGGAGGCUGCCUGCUGUAGUAGUAACCUAGGCUACUUGACUCCCACGAAUCUUUACCGCUAGUCUUGUAGGUAGAGAGAACACGGACCCGGGCCCCCCCCCCCUCCCCUCUCUCCACCCUCCCCCCCUAUCUAGGACACACUACCCCCCACCCUCCCCCACCAACAAGACCUGACACAAGCCAACGUAUGAACUUGUUAGAGGGAGCGUGUGUGUCCUCAGAGCAGAGAUUACAUUGAGGUCAGGUACGCAAAAAAAAAAUGUUCAGUUCAGGUACGCAAAAAAAAAGUUCAGUUCAGGUACGCAAAAAAAAAUGUUCAGUUUAGGUACGCAAAAAAAAAAGUUCAGUUCAGGUACGCAAAAAAAAAUGUUCAGUUCAGGUACGCAAAAAAAAAAUGUUCAGUUCAGGUACGCAAAAAAAAAUGUUGUUCUGUUCAGUUGCGUAGAUCAGAGGAAGAAAACUUUACGCCAGAGAUUACAUUGAGUUCAGGUAUGGAAAAAAAUUAUCCCUUGUCAAAAUCAACCCUCAAUGAUCAUGUUUGAUUUCUUAUAUCUCAGGAAAACUAAGUCAUUCAAGAAAACGCUCGUUCACUACUUAAUCAACCGUUCUCCUGUUGCCAUAUAUAUACUCUCCUAACAUUAAAACCUCCUGGAAGACCAUAGGAAAGAAUGUAGAGGUCAAAACAACUGUGAAAAUAAGACUGGGGGAACUCACGCGGCGACGGGCGGUGGAGUAGCCUAAUCAGUCCCGCGGUAGCCAAAACCCGCGGCUCACCACACCUAAAAUCCAACAGCCUCCCCCAACCCCAGAUGAAGAGCACUAAAAGACAGGUGGAUAUACAUGAACCUCAAUAUUGGAGUUUUUUACACAGAUAACAGCACUUGACUUACUUCCUCAGUCUUGGGAAGUGACUAAUAACUCAUAGUGUUGCCCUUCGACUAGGAAAACUCCAGACAGAGGAACCACUCAGCACCGUUUUGAGAGUUCCCGCUUCUUCCAUAUUUGCACAUAUUCUCAUUCCUGACAUGCGUACUAACUGGUAGGGUGCGUGCAGACUGGCGGACACACACCCUCCCAAACACAUACACGGGAUUUAUCUUUGCACACACGAGUCGGAAGAGGAAGUUUUCUGUGCCACACGCUAACAUAACUUCCGGGUGAACGAAGGAACUCUUCAUCAACAGCGAGGAGUUCCGGUAUUGUCCACUCCGGCGCGUCCGACAAAACACUGAUCGCAAGACGGCAACAGCAGCAGCUCAGUCACGUCAGUUCCUUUAGCCUAUGUUUGCUACGACACGUUUUCUUGGACAUACUUCUGGUCUUAUGAGAAAAAAUGGGAUCAAAUAAACUUUUUAAUCACAAACAUCAUAUAAUCACACUGUACUGCCUGGGGGUUGGGAUGGCAUGUUCCUCCCUUCUCCUUUGUUGUUUGCUUGCAACAAUAAACUAUCAAUCAAUCAACCAAUCAAUCAUAACUGGUAGAUAAUGAUCGAAAGAAUGAUAUCGCAGCGGCCCUAUUCAUGCUGUCACGAUAAACGAGUUGUGAGUAAAGGAAGGAAUGGUUGGUUGGUGGAUGCAAUGAGAGACGAAACGCUUGGUCUUAGUCUUGGCUUGGAAGUAGGUUAGGUUAGGUUAGGGUCGGUUAGGUAUGUGUGUGGACGCAAAUGUCUAACCUAACCUAACCUACUCCAUCCAAGACCGAGAGUUUCGACCAUCGCUGAAUCCAUUUUAGCACAGGUCGUAAGGGAACCAAGCUGCUGCCGUCACGUGAUCACUGCUUGAAGGGAUACAACAAUAGACAAAACGCUUGGUCUUAAAUCUUGGUAUUGGUCUAGGGAAGUAGGUUAGAUUUCUAUGUGGACGCAAAUAUCUAACCUAACUUAACCUGCUCGAUCAUUGUUGCAUCCCUUGUAGCCCUGGUCGUAAAGAAACAAAGCUGCUGCCGUUGGGUGAUCAGUACUUUUGACAGAGACGCUGGAACUGCAAUAUAAGUUCACAAUAUGAGACCCCGUGACUGGAGACCUGACCAGUGAUGUCUCGUGAUGACUGAUGACGAGCGAGUGCGUGGGGGAGUAACUCUUUUUAUGUGUCCAGGGCAUGGAGAGGUCGCCUACCAAACAUGUAACAUAAGAACGACAGAUGCCGCCAAUCAAGUGUCGUCCUGUCGUCCAGCAUAUAUACACAGCGGUGACCUUGACUGAGUUCGCCGUCGUCGUCGUUCUCGCAUUCAACUCUCCCGCGGGAUGCUUGUUCCAGCGCCCGACAACUCGAGUAAAUAAGUUUUUCGUUUUUUCUUCUCUUCUGCCAGUGUCGGUGUCGUCUCGUUUCUCGCUUUAGUUGGCAGACCGCAUUUCUCGUUCUCUCGUGCUGGUGGUUGUUGAGUUUGACGUGGAACUCGGAGUGAUCAUCGUUGUCAGUGUUGUUGUGCAGGUGUGUCAAAACCUGCGUCAUGUAUCCUUUUAGUCUUCUGUUUUUUGCUAAGGGAUGAAGGGUGGAAUGCUCUCCUUGUAAGCCCUGAUAUCCUCACUGAUGGAGACGGUUGUGUGGGGCGAAGAAAGAGGAGGAGGAGGAGGAGGAUAAGCAGGAGGAGGAGGAGGAGUCAGUAUGUACAAUGAUGGGAAGCCAAACAGUGAUGUAGAAGCAUGACUGAAGACAAACAAUGUGUAAAUAUGGAGAAAAAAAAACCGAGAGGUGAAUAGAAGAAAAUGAACAAGACAAUAGGAGGACGUUCGAUAGUUUGGUGCUGUGAUGAAAUUACUAAGAAUCAGAUCAAUUAUUAGAAAAAAAUACGGAAAAUUAUUAAACUCGGACAUAAAAAAGAGACGGACACAAACUUUCAUGUGUUGUGCCAAGAGAAAUAAAAAUAAUCUGAAAAUAACUGAUAGACAAAGGAAAAUUAUGGACCCGAGUGGCAUUAGUAAUAUAUGAAAAAAGAUUAAACAUUUUAAGAAAGAAAAAAAUACAAAAGUAUGUGAAAAUUUUGACCAAGAUACCUGAGAAAAAAUAUUCAUCAAAGCUUAUGAAAAAUAUAUAUUUAUAAAAAGAAAAAUAUAUGUAAAUUGUACAAUAGAGGAACAAAAUACAACCAGAAAAAAUAACGAAGGAAACUAAAAGACAGGUGUGGAAAAAGGUGGAAAGCGGAUGUGAGUGGAUGUGAAAGGAUGUGGGAAGAAUGUGAGUGAUAAAUAAAAUAAAAAAAUAAAUAAAAACUAAAUAUUCUUAAAGUUCAGUGUGUAGCAAGGCCUGUAGAGGCAGGUGUAAGUGUCUUUUCCCUCUGUCUUUUCCUUACUUCGUUAGAGUACGACAAAACAUCAAAUCUGGGACAAGUGGAGUCUUGGCGCCGAUAAGACCCUGGAGCCGGUGCGCGAAGAGGGGAGUGUGAAGGCCGCGUCACGGGCUUGCCGCGGAGGCGGGCGAUAGACCUGCUGCGGCGCCACCCUCAGGAGGAGGCGCCCUCCGCGGCCAGCGGCUCUUCACAAGGAGAAGAGACCGGUGCUAUUCACCCUUCGUGGACCCCCGUCUCCUAUAAAUCGACUUCGGCAACUGGGGCAGCUUUAAAACCGUCCCUGCACCCCGCAUCUACACCCUACAUCCGCCGUCUCGGUGUAGCCCUAACUACGAAUCUGCAGGCCCAGGUUCAUAUUUCGGACUGGACAGUCUGCGUGCAGCCCACCCACCUGUUCAUCCUCUUUCUGGCUGGUCUAUAAACGGAUGUUUGGGCCAACCUGGGCAAGGAAAACUUUGGUAACCCGGAUGUCACACUGACCUGGUCUUCUGGGCUCUUGCCCACCACAGGCGCCGACACAACGCGGAGCUACAGGUUAUGUCCUCAACUGUGCCCAUACCUUAUACUCACACCCUGAAACCACUAGGUUGCUACCGUUCCAGCAAUAUGGCUACCACGUGUGCAGCGGCAACCACGGGUGGGGACAACAACGACCAUCAGCUGCCCCAGCCCCUCCACCUAUACAGACCCCAGCGCCUCUUGCGACCCGCCAGGGCACCGCAAUGAAGUUCCAAGCCCUGGCCUGGGUCCCACCUAUGCAACGAACAAACGUGCCAUCUCUGCCCCGCCCCACACCCGCCGGCUUGGCCUUCACACCUACGGUUACGCGAUUUCGGAAUGAAGAUCGUUCUGGGGUUUGCCAAAUUGCUGGAGGCAGCGCCGUGAGCCACCCCGUUCAUCGCAAGAGUAGUAAAAGGUGUGACAAAACAUCAAGGUAAAGUUGACGCUCUUGGCCGCUGCCUCCACCUUAAAAGCAUCGCUCAAGAAGCCUCCCGGGCUCCCGCCUCCAUGACGCCGCAUCCACCUCCCAGCCACCACUGGUCAGAACCAAGACAAGCCGCUGCAAAGUUCUCCGCCACUGACUCUUCACAAAAAGAGGUCGACUACGACUCCAACGACUCCAUCUCAG
RNA transcript from Eriocheir sinensis (Chinese mitten crab), 7747 nucleotides. It is a transcript of the gene named chordin-like protein 2, with no coding region annotated. The transcript has 11 exons. NCBI's taxonomy places the organism in Eukaryota, Metazoa, Arthropoda, Malacostraca, Decapoda, Varunidae. The record is from RefSeq and is a predicted model, not a curated record.